CCUACGGGGGGCAGCAGUGAGGAAUAUUGGUCAAUGGACGCGAGUCUGAACCAGCCAAGUAGCGUGAAGGAUGACUGCCCUACGGGUUGUAAACUUCUUUUAUAUAGGAAUAAAAUGUUCCACGUGUGGGUUUUUGUAUGUACCUUAUGAAUAAGGAUCGGCUAACUCCGUGCCAGCAGCCGCGGUAAUACGGAGGAUCCGAGCGUUAUCCGGAUUUAUUGGGUUUAAAGGGAGCGUAGGUGGGUUGUUAAGUCAGUUGUGAAAGUUUGCGGCUCAACCGUAAAAUUGCAGUUGAUACUGGCAGUCUUGAGUACAGUAGAGGUGGGCGGAAUUCGUGGUGUAGCGGUGAAAUGCUUAGAUAUCACGAAGAACUCCGAUUGCGAAGGCAGCUCACUAAACUGCAACUGACACUGAGGCUCGAAAGUGUGGGUAUCAAACAGGAUUAGAUACCCCAGUAGUC
RNAcentral lists this ribosomal RNA (460 nucleotides) under uncultured bacterium. Its description in RNAcentral is "partial 16S ribosomal RNA". It matches the Rfam family "Bacterial small subunit ribosomal RNA", at positions 338 to 795 of the family's 1533-position model. The record is from RNAcentral.